RNAcentral lists this ribosomal RNA (301 nucleotides) under uncultured bacterium. RNAcentral's name for it is "partial 16S ribosomal RNA". It matches the Rfam family "Bacterial small subunit ribosomal RNA", at positions 509 to 809 of the family's 1533-position model. The record is from RNAcentral.
CAGCAGCCGCGGGAAUACGGAGGAUCCAAGCGUUAUCCGGAAUCAUUGGGUUUAAAGGGUCCGUAGGCGGUCUUGUAAGUCAGUGGUGAAAGCCCAUCGCUCAACGGUGGAACGGCCAUUGAUACUGCAGGACUUGAAUUAUUGGGAAGUAACUAGAAUAUGUAGUGUAGCGGUGAAAUGCUUAGAGAUUACAUGGAAUACCAAUUGCGAAGGCAGGUUACUACCAAUUGAUUGACGCUGAUGGACGAAAGCGUGGGUAGCGAACAGGAUUAGAUACCCCGGUAGUCCAUGUCUCUUAUAA